Molecule: long non-coding RNA, 882 nt
Organism: Ornithodoros turicata
Lineage: Eukaryota; Metazoa; Arthropoda; Arachnida; Ixodida; Argasidae
Exons: 5
Source: RefSeq, a predicted model, not a curated record
CAUGCUCUCAAUGCGGGAAGUUUUGUGCGGUUGUUUCGUGAUAAAUACAACGUAAUAUAUCGACUACGGUAUUACAUAUUACAGUGAUUCACUCAUGGGAGUGAUGCAAACACCAAGGCACGAAGUGUGCUUGGCGCAACAGGCAGUCUUUGAGACUGGCAUUCAUAUCGUGUCUGUUUGUGUGACAAUGGCAAUCGUAAUAAGGGGAGCACCACAGUCGCUGACAGAUUUGCCGCCUUGAUUGCAUCUGUGGACAUGCAUUAUCCUCAAGCUGUGUCACAAUCAAGGCAGAUAUGGUGGUGGCUCAAUGUAUUUUCAUCUUUUAAAGGAAGUUCAGGUUUUUGAAGAGAGGAAGAAAUAACUGCACCUCGACCAAGCUUUCGAAGUUGACAAGUUUGGAAAUGACAUUGCAGGUGAUGACGACCAUAUGUGGGACAGAAUGCGUGUGGCCCUAAACGGAUUGUCUUGCUGCACUGUGUAUGUGUGGUGAAGGACCCAUCAAGUGCUCUGUGUUUGAACUAUGCGAAGUGUGUGGGAACAACAACUGUCGCUCAGGUAGAAGUGGGUUACCUCCUUCAGGUAUUGUGCUUCAAAACAAAGCAAUGAAAGGUAAGCGAAUGAGAGAAACAUUUCAGGUAAAUGCUGAGUUUUCACAGACACAAAGAUGGGUUGCACAGGUAUCUCGCUCCAUGGUGAAAUUAUUCGGAGGCACAGGCCCUUACCCAAGAUUUUCCCAGCUACAAUUAAUAUGCGCAUACCAUAUUUGCACUAUUUUAAUGCGCAGGUGAAUUUAGCAAGAAAAACCACAAAAAAAAGUUGGAUGCCAAUUGUACCGUGCGGGUACGAAACAGGAGGACGUUUUUAUGACUAGAACAAAGUACU